Long non-coding RNA from Cuculus canorus (common cuckoo), 753 nucleotides. RefSeq lists it as uncharacterized. The record is from RefSeq and is a predicted model, not a curated record. The transcript has 3 exons. NCBI's taxonomy places the organism in Eukaryota, Metazoa, Chordata, Aves, Cuculiformes, Cuculidae.
GUUCUGCUUUGUGACUGGGACCACUUCUGAUUAGAAGAGCAGGAAGGAAAGAAAUAUAGAAAAAGAAAUUGCUUGAUACAACAGGCUGAAUUCAAGACUAGUGUUCAUCUCCAAGAGUCACAGAAUACCAAAUAUAUCUGACUCCAUCUGGGUGAUGAGGAACAUGAAGAGUGAACACCAAUGUAUUUCCAGACUCUGCCCUGCAGGAGAACCAGCAAUGCCAUUUUAUUACACUUUUUUUUUUAAUCAUCUGCCAGAACAACCUACCAAGUUAAGAGGAAAAUUGACUUUGCCACACGAGGAAAGUCAUCAGCACAUUGAUGGCAGCUUGCCUGCAGGCUGUACUUGGAGCCCAGACUGGACCAUUGAUGAAAGGAGAAGAUUGGUGAUGUUGUACAGUGACCAGGAAUGCUGGCUCAUGCGGCAUUCCUGAGGAAAUCAGAGGCACCGAGAAGACAACUGGGGGAAUGCACAUAAAAGCUCUCAAGGGCACAGCACGUGAAGCAAUGCAAGAACCAAGAGAGUCAGUGGCAAUGAAACCCAUGUUCAUUGAAACCUGAGGAACUCUCCAACAACUCUUAAACUGUGAUUCAAAUAUCACUUGUGGUUUAUGAAUUAUGGUAAAAUUUCAAGGUUGAAGUAAAAAGCUGUACGGAUAGAAAAUUGCAAAGAUGUUACUUAACUGUUUGCAAGUUGUGAUGCAGUAGCUAUUAUAACUGGAAAGCUGUUGCAAAGAUGGAGGCCUGGUGAAAU